RNAcentral lists this ribosomal RNA (506 nucleotides) under uncultured bacterium. RNAcentral describes it as "bacterial SSU rRNA". It matches the Rfam family "Bacterial small subunit ribosomal RNA", at positions 28 to 517 of the family's 1533-position model. The record is from RNAcentral.
GAUGAACGCUGGCGGCGUGCCUAAUACAUGCAAGUCGAACGCACAGCGAAAGGUGCUUGCACCUUUCAAGUGAGUGGCGAACGGGUGAGUAACACGUGGAUAACCUACCUCAAGGUUGGGGAUAACAUUUGGAAACAGAUGCUAAUACCGAAUAAAACUUCGUAUCGCAUGAUACAAGGUUAAAAAGGCGCUACGGCGUCACCUAGAGAUGGAUCCGCGGUGCAUUAGUUAGUUGGUGGGUAAAGGCCUACCAAGACAAUGAUGCAUAGCCGAGUUGAGAGACUGAUCGGCCACAUUGGGACUGAGACACGGCCCAAACUCCUACGGGAGGCUGCAGUAGGGAAUCUUCCACAAUGGGCGAAAGCCUGAUGGAGCAACGCCGCGUGUGUGAUGAAGGCUUUCGGGUCGUAAAGCACUGUUGUAUGGGAAGAACAGCUAGAGUAGGGAAUGACUUUAGUUGACGGUACCAUACCAGAAAGGGACGGCUAAAUACGUGCCAGCAGCCG